Molecule: long non-coding RNA, 2268 nt
Organism: Cyprinus carpio carpio
Lineage: Eukaryota; Metazoa; Chordata; Actinopteri; Cypriniformes; Cyprinidae
Source: Ensembl
UACAAGGGCUAAUUGUGGGCGAAGAAUAAAAGGACUCUAUGAAGAUGAUAGAGCAAUAGGUACGCCGAAGUGGGUAUCUGAAUCAGGGACAGCGCAGGGGACACCACGGGAGUUGCCAUUUUCCGUAGGUUCAUCUUGCAGUGCAUCCAGGGAGCACCUUCGGAGAUCCUCGGAAAAUGUAUGCUAUUUCUUGCCGCUAGUCAAGCGACUUCAAAUUGAUUGUUUUGAUUUUGUACGUUUAGGAAUGAAGUAUUCGGUGGCGGUGGUGUCACUCGUUUCUCUUUGCCAUGUUUGGUUUCGGGGGUCAUGACGGUAUCGCUUUUGAGUCCCGUUACUUUACUAUUUUAUCGAACACCUUUUUUUUGGCCGACUGGCUAUGAAUUUGUUGCACAUUAGCACUCGUACGGUCUUAUUGGCUUUGUUCGAAUUAUUGAAACAUAGCUUGAGAGAACCUGAAUUUGCGAAAAUCAUCUCGCGUAAUGAUUUAAUAGACAAAAUAUUUGAGUCACUUAAUGGCACAAUUGUUUUUUUUUUUUAACUAGUAAUUGAAUGUAUUGUAGGAGGAUUCCUUUUUGUGACGAAUUACGUUGGAAGUGUCGUUUUGAAGGUGUAUACGCAAUUUUCCUUGUAAAUUUGCAGUUUUGUUGCGUUUAAUUAAUCCUAUAAGCCUUCUUUACAUAUACAUUUGGACCUUUAGUGCAUUUUACGAAUUGUUUGCCAAAUUGUGAACUUUUUUUUGUCUUUAACUAAACAAUCUUCCUGUGCUAGGCCAGUUAAGCUUUUUUGUUUUAUUUUGUUUAGUUUUCGUUUUUCAAACAUCCAGAUUUGCAUACUGUCAUGCUUCUGGGCGGGGCUUCACACUUCAUUUUUAAACUGUGUUUACUUGGGUGGGAUGGUACUGUCAGUCAUCACAUGCCAAUUUCAAACUGUUUUGUUGUUGUACAAAUAGUGGACCUGCAAAUUUACAAUGGUAUUUCUGAACACGUGAACGUUUAAAGCUUUUGUACAUACAGCUUUCAUUUUAAAGGGCUUGGCCUAAUCUGAGAAACACCUUUCUUUAUCCAACAGAAACACUACAACCAGUCAUUUCGUUCCCAUUAAGUACCACAAAACAUCAGAAUACGUUGUACAGAUGGUAAAAAUAGCAUUGAUAUCCUGUUCUGCUGGUGUUCAAGGGAAUUUUUGGUCAUUCUCAACAAUUUGUGAUGAAGUUUGAUAUGUUUUUCCUUCCUGGGUUAAUGCACUGAACCUACUCUGCAGUAAUGGAUCGAACUCCACUCAUGUGACGUAUCUGUUCCUCCAAACUUGUUCCUGGUACUCUGAGAGAUGCAGACACUAAUGAAUAGAAAUGACGCUUUCGCUUGAGGUCUACAUUGACGUGAUGGAUGCGUACAAUAUGAAGCUAUCUUUACCUUUUUUUUUUCUUUGUUUUUCUGAUGUUGAUGCAUUAUCUGAACACUUGUAUGUAGGACACUUUAAUAUAAUACAUUUGUUUUUGAUAAAACAGCUAAAAUAAACUUUUGUGUAGUGGUGUAUAAAAUCAAAGUAUUGUAUUACUUUGUAAUGUAUUUCGUGUUCGGUUGGUUGCUAAUUUUUUUUUUUUUUUAAAGCAUACCAAAUGUAAAUGAUGUACUAUAUUGAGUGUGCCAAUCUCUUUUAUUUGUAGAGCCAGACUCUUUACAAGUGCCAAUGUUGUGGAAAUCAUUUAAAAAGGACUUGUGUAUUUUACGGUCCGGUUUUUAAAAACAAAUAAACAUUAAGUAUGUGAUUAAGGUAAAUGCGCAAUAGGAAAAGGACAAUUUUAUUCUGUAUUUAAGAUUAAAGAUGACAAACUGCUGUUUUUAAAAGAAAUGACAUUCUAAUUGCAUGUGUUUGUUUUUGGUGGAAAGGGCCGGGUAAAGGAGAAACCGUAUUAACACGAAACCCUGCUGACAAGGGGCUUAAUUAUUGCUCAUUUACAGUAUUUUAGACAUAUUUCUCUUUUUGUAUGUUUCAUUUCAACCACUUUAGCCUGAACCUCAUUCAUACAUGAAAAUUACUUUCAUAGCUUUCUCCUUUAAAGAAAAAAAAUCCAUUUUAAAUUGUAAUAAAUUUAGUUCCUAUAUGUUUGCAUCUGUGUUGCGCUUUUAUUUAUGCCUUUUAUUACAAGAAAGAUGAAUAAGGUAGAUGGUCCUUCUGGUGAAACAUCGUCUACAUUAAGAGUCCUGGUAGUCAUAAUAAUACAUGACAAAAUGAUUCACACACAGUUAUCUUGUAUAAAUAAAAUGU